UACGGAGGGUGCAAACGUUGUCCGGAAUCACUGGGCGUAAAGCGCAUGUAGGUGGUUUGGUAAGUGAAUGAUUAAAGACCGAUGCUUAACAUCGGGCCGGUUAUUCAUACUGCCUGACUCGAGUAUAGCAGGGGUAAGCGGAACUUUAGGUGUAGGAGUGAAAUCCGUAGAUAUCUAAAGGAACACCAAUGGCGAAGGCAGCUUACUGGGCUAUUACUGACACUGAGAUGCGAAAGUGUGGGGAGCAAACGGG
RNAcentral lists this ribosomal RNA (253 nucleotides) under uncultured bacterium. RNAcentral describes it as "partial 16S ribosomal RNA". It matches the Rfam family "Bacterial small subunit ribosomal RNA", at positions 524 to 776 of the family's 1533-position model. The record is from RNAcentral.